UAGCGAUCUGCCGGUGGAUUUUUAGCCCUGGUAGGUAGCUUCCCGGAAACGAAAGUCUUCCGGUUCCGGGGGAAGUAUGGUUGCAAAGCUGAAACUUAAAGGAAUUGACGGAAGGGCACCACCAGGAGUGGAGCCUGCGGCUUAAUUUGACUCAACACGGGGAAACUCACCCGGCCCGGACACCGUAAGGAUUGACAGAUUGAUAGCUCUUUCAUGAUUCGGUGGUUGGUGGUGCAUGGCCGUUCUUAGUUCGUGGAUCGAUUUGUCUGGUUUAUUCCGAUAACGAGCGAGACUCUAGCCUACUAAAUAGUAGCGAGAUUACCAUUGUCUCAGUUGCUUCUUAGAGGGAUUUUCGGUGUUUAGCCGCACGAGAUUGAGCAAUAACAGGUCUGUGAUGCCCUUAGAUGUCCGGGGCUGCACGCGCGCUACACUGGCGAAAUCAGCGUGCUUUAUCCAUUCUCGAAAGGGAUUGGUAAACCCAUGAAAAUUUGCCGUGCUUGGGAUCGGAAAUUGCAAUUAUUUUCCGUGAACGAGGAAUUCCAAGUAAGUGCGAGUCAUCAACUCGCUCUGAUUACGUC
Molecule: ribosomal RNA, 578 nt
Filed under: Eucephalobus sp. MHt23
Lineage: Eukaryota; Metazoa; Nematoda; Chromadorea; Rhabditida; Cephalobidae
Description: SSU rRNA
Rfam family: Eukaryotic small subunit ribosomal RNA
Source: RNAcentral